CCUGCAGCCCUCAGAGAUUUUCAUUGUUACAUUUGACAAUGCCACGUUCCAGCAAGAGAUCCAGGGCAGCCAAGAAAAGGAUAUCUGCUCCAGAAGACCAAGGAUCCACUGUUGAGAUGCCGAGGAAGAAGAACUGGCGGAAAGGGCGUCAUCACUUGGCUGCUGCUGCAACAUGUAGCGCCUUGUCUGAUUUUUCUCUAUCCACUGAUCCCCACUCUACCCCUUGUGAUAUCCCAUCUUCAUCCCCCACCCCAAGCUUCACCUACUCUGAUUUUCCUCCUCUUCCGACCUCUCGGUCAUCUAUCUUUAGGCCCUGUGACUCUCUUUCACAGUCUGUGCCUGUUGUGAGCUGUGAUAAUGUAUCGCAGUCUCUUUCAAGGACCAGUGGAGCAUCGUUCACACUGCCUCUGCAAUCUAUAAGGUGUGCAGCCAUUGGGGCAUACUGUUCUCACGGUGAAAC
Long non-coding RNA from Osmerus eperlanus (European smelt), 460 nucleotides. RefSeq lists it as uncharacterized. The transcript has 3 exons. The record is from RefSeq and is a predicted model, not a curated record. NCBI's taxonomy places the organism in Eukaryota, Metazoa, Chordata, Actinopteri, Osmeriformes, Osmeridae.